GCCCGGGUGGAGCGGGGAUGACCAAGAGAGAAACAAAAGCAGAGGCUGUGGAACAUGCCGGGCUGUUGGAGGGGUCCGAGAGCCACCCCAGCCUCUGGGACCCCGUGGGGCUCCUCUGUACCCCGUGACCUAGCCUAUGAUGAGUCUUCGUCCCCUUUGAGGAGUGGCUCUCAAGGUGCGUGGGGCCACAGAGCAUUGGUCCCCAUAGUCAUCUCUGGCAGGUGGCCUUGCCCAGCCCAGACAGCUGCUCCCCAGGCAAGGACCUGGGGGUGGGGACCUGUGACAGCUGGGCCAGGCCUGGAGUCUGUGCCUCUCAGCCGCCCAGCCUGAGCUUCUAAAUUUAACCGGCUAUCGGCUUGAGUGGCUGGAACCUGCCACUGCACCUCAAAUGCCACUCGGAAUCCACUCUUCUCCCCACCAGCCUCCUAGCACGGUCUGCUUCCUGAAGGUGGAGCCAUGCCGCGUGCCCACGCGAAGAUCCGUAUUCCUGGGUGCCUGCUCCGUCCUGGCGUGACCCGGGCCCACUUUCUCUGCCCUUGGUUCCCUGGUUCCCCCCCACCCCCGUCUCUCCCUCUCUCUCUGUCUCUCACACACACACACACAGCCUCUGUGGGCAGCACUCAGGGACCAGCUCCACAACCAAAAGCCAAACCACGACAGUGACGGCCCCACCCAGAAGCUGUCGGCGUGGAGGGCGGCCAUGAGGCCUGUUAUGCAAUUUCCUGCGUUGGUUUCUCAGACGCAGAGGCAGGAUGCAGAGCGCUGUGCGGAACCCAGAGAAGAAACCAGAUCCCAGUGCCCACUGUGGCUGCUCGGGCACCCUUACCCCUCAGUUCUGCAGGAAGGCCGCCCACCACCGCGGCCUAGCUAGACGGCCCGGCUGGAAGGGCCACAGAGGACAGGCCGCACAGAGACUUCCGGGAAGAAGUGGGUGGGGAGAAAGGCAUUUCCUGCCCCAAGGACCCGGGAUGGAGGGAGCUACAGCUUGGGGCCUUCUUAAUAGUAGUAACUGGUGUGAGUCACCACUCAGGCCCUGUAGGCAGGAGCGAGAGGCUGGCUCUGGGCCAGGGUUCGAAUCCUGGCUCUGCCUCUUCACAGGCACAUGCCUGAGGUGGCUCCUUGAUUCUGCUCUGUAUCUCUUCAUCUGUGAAAUGUGGGUAACACCUCCCAGUGGGACUAUGUGAGGACACUGUAGGACGCGGUGAGUUCCCUCCUGGCACGUUAUGCCAUGUCGGCCAGGAGGCAGCCACUCUGAGGAUCCCUUCCUGUAUGAGGUCUGAGUGUCUGCCAAAGCUGCACACAGGUGGCCUUGACCCCUUGGUCCACCUGGAGUAAGCCCAGACCCAGCUAACAGCCCCCUCAGAGAAGCAGGCUUCAGCUGGAGGGGAGGACUUCCCCUGGGUACAGCCCACCUGCCCCCCCGGCAGGUUUGGAGGCCUACAGGGUGGGCUGAGGAGAACCCAGUCUGAACUCUGAUCACCCCAGACAACAGGUUCUGCUGUUUGUCCCAAAGCCAAGCUGCUCUCAAGUCCCAGCUUGACUGCCAGCUUGCCACCCUCCUCCAUGCAGGGCACUGACCACCUCCUCCACCUAGAUGCUGGCCAGGGGCACUUCUGGGUGCAGAGAUCCCCCAGCUGUGGACAGGAGCAGCUGUGCUGAGGGACUGGCUGGCCUCCCCACCUGCAGGUCCUCAGCACCAGAACCCCAGCCUCACACCGUCCUCCCCUACCAGUGGCCCCGUGGCCACCACACCAAGCCAUCAUCCCCGAAAUGAAUCACCACCCCAGAAACACCCAGAUCCUAGC
This 1805-nucleotide long non-coding RNA is filed under the name Marmota monax (woodchuck). The record is from RNAcentral. Lineage: Eukaryota; Metazoa; Chordata; Mammalia; Rodentia; Sciuridae.